This is a long non-coding RNA of Asterias rubens (European starfish), 926 nucleotides long. RefSeq lists it as uncharacterized. The transcript is spliced from 3 exons. Lineage: Eukaryota; Metazoa; Echinodermata; Asteroidea; Forcipulatida; Asteriidae. The record is from RefSeq and is a predicted model, not a curated record.
UCCACAUUUCACAUAAUAUAAACACUGCCGUGGAUAGUGUUACUUCUAAACAUCUUUUUUUUUACGAGCAUACAUCUUUUUUUACGAGCAGCAAACACGGAACAACCUUGUACACAAGGAUAAAAUCACACAUUAAAUCAAAGCUAGGCUUAAAAUGAUGUAAUUGAGUUUGGAUUCGGGGGCAUCCCCUUUCCAAACACAUAGUUCCUUCCUCAGAAGCGCUGGUUUGUUAAACGCUCGAAAGUCGUUGCUUCGGUGAGGGGCGUAUACAAAGUAUUCUCAAAACAACACUUUGUGGCAACCACAUAAGCCUACUCAGAGUCAGACUGCUCCUAUUCUGGAAUAUCGUUGCUGCACCAUCAUCGUCAUAUCCCAUCAACUCUGGUGAUGGCUGACAACGAAAAUCUAGCGGAUGGAACACGCCUGAAAGUGACGUACUACAAGACCGCUCCGAGUCGAAAUGGUAGAGACGGAGAAACCCGUUUUACUCGUGUACCUACUCAUGGCACUGCGCAUCCCCGUUAUGAGGAUGUGUGUUCUGUCAUACAUAAGAUUUUCAAACUAGAUCAGACCGAACCUCUUCAACUGUAUUGGAAAGACCCGGGUGAGGGCAGUGUCUACAAUAUCAACUCGGAUGAUGAGCUUACUGAAGCCAUUCCCCGAAUGGAGAGAGAUGGUCAAUCUUUGGCCAUGUAUGCACAGCCUAUAAGGCGCACGUACGGUGCAAUGAUCGGGGAACACUUCUGGAAAGCUACAACUGUUAUAACAGCGAUUGGAUUCAUAAUUGCAGCAACAAUUGCGUGCUUUAAAAAAAUAAAAUAAAACGAAGAUGAUCUGAAUGGGAAACUUUAAGGCGCUAGGUGGCAGCAGACUUACUUGGUAAAUUUCCAUUGUUUAAAGUCACCUGGAAGUGGUAUUUUUUUUAA